RNAcentral lists this ribosomal RNA (497 nucleotides) under uncultured bacterium. Its description in RNAcentral is "partial 16S ribosomal RNA". It matches the Rfam family "Bacterial small subunit ribosomal RNA", at positions 28 to 507 of the family's 1533-position model. The record is from RNAcentral.
GAUGAACGCUGGCGGCGUGCCUAAUACAUGCCAGUCGAGCGAACGGACGAGAAGCUUGCUUCUCUGAUGUUAGCGGCGGACGGGUGAGUAACACGUGGAUAACCUACCUAUAAGACUGGGAUAACUUCGGGAAACCGGAGCUAAUACCGGAUGAUAUUUUGGACCGCAUGGUUCAAAAGUGAAAGACGGUCUUGCUGUCACUUAUAGAUGGAUCCGCGCUGCAUUAGCUAGUUGGUAAGGUAACGGCUUACCAAGGCAACGAUGCAUAGCCGACCUGAGAGGGUGAUCGGCCACACUGGAACUGAGACACGGUCCAGACUCCUACGGGAGGCAGCAGUAGGGAAUCUUCCGCAAUGGGCGAAAGCCUGACGGAGCAACGCCGCGUGAGUGAUGAAGGUCUUCGGAUCGUAAAACUCUGUUAUUAGGGAAGAACAUAUGUGUAAGUAACUGUGCACAUCUUGACGGUACCUAAUCAGAAAGCCACGGCUAACUACGUG